Molecule: transfer RNA, 92 nt
Filed under: Phycisphaerae bacterium
Lineage: Bacteria; Pseudomonadati; Planctomycetota; Phycisphaerae
Description: tRNA-Ser
Rfam family: tRNA
About the family: Transfer RNA (tRNA) molecules are approximately 80 nucleotides in length.
Source: RNAcentral
GGAGAGGUGGCCGAGAGGCUGAAGGCAGCCGCCUGCUAAGCGGUUAUAGGGUUAAUCCCGUAUCCAGGGUUCGAAUCCCUGCCUCUCCGCCA